GACGAACGCUGGCGGCGUGCUUAAUACAUGCAAGUCGAGCGAGGCCUUGGAAUUGGAGUCCUUCGGGAUGAAGAGUCCUUGGCCUAGCGGCGGACGGGUGAGUAACGCGUGGGCAACCUACCCCAAAGUCCGGGAUAACAGUGGGAAACCGCUGCUAAUACCGGAUGGCUUUACCUGAGGGCAUCCUUGGGUAAAGAAAGGUUACGCUUUGGGAUGGGCCCGCGUCCCAUUAGCUAGUUGGUGAGGUAACGGCUCACCAAGGCGACGAUGGGUAGCCGGCCUGAGAGGGUGAACGGCCACACUGGGACUGAGACACGGCCCAGACUCCUACGGGAGGCAGCAGUAGGGAAUAUUGCGCAAUGGGCGGAAGCCUGACGCAGCGACGCCGCGUGAGCGAAGAAGGCCUUCGGGUCGUAAAGCUCUGUCCUUGGGGAAGAAGGCGAAAGCUUGACGGUACCCAAGAAGAAAGCCCCGGCUAACUACGUGCCAGCAGCCGCGGUAAGAGUCACGUCG
Molecule: ribosomal RNA, 513 nt
Filed under: uncultured bacterium
Lineage: Bacteria
Description: bacterial SSU rRNA
Rfam family: Bacterial small subunit ribosomal RNA
Source: RNAcentral